Molecule: transfer RNA, 72 nt
Filed under: Camelus bactrianus (Bactrian camel)
Lineage: Eukaryota; Metazoa; Chordata; Mammalia; Artiodactyla; Camelidae
Also listed under: 2 other names
Rfam family: tRNA
About the family: Transfer RNA (tRNA) molecules are approximately 80 nucleotides in length. Their secondary structure includes four short double-helical elements and three loops (D, anti-codon, and T loops).
Source: Rfam by way of RNAcentral
GAGGAUAUAGCUCAGUGGUAGAGCAGGUGCUUAGCAUGCCCAAGGUCCUGGGUUCAAUCCCCAGUACCUCCA